Molecule: long non-coding RNA, 399 nt
Organism: Eutrema salsugineum
Lineage: Eukaryota; Viridiplantae; Streptophyta; Magnoliopsida; Brassicales; Brassicaceae
Exons: 3
Source: RefSeq, a predicted model, not a curated record
AUAACGGCGCUGUGUUCCACUCUCUCUGGCCUUUCUCCGCUGCCUUUCCUGUUCGUCUCUGCUGCUGCGUCUACUUCUCUGCAAGCUCAUCCUCAAAAAAUGGCAAAACCUGAGACAGUGGAGAACGUGUGUGAAGCCGUCAAAAGCCAACUCUCACUUAAAGAUGGCGAGACAGUUUCGGCUGGGACCAAAUUUGUUGAUCUUGGUGCUGAUUCUCUUGACACGGUAACUUACAACCUGAGGAGACUUUAAAAUCUUCCAGAAGAAGAAAAAGAGCAAAGCAAGAUAAGAGAUGAUUGCUUAGAUUCUUAAAUCCCUUUGAAGACGUUGAAAAGAGAGAACUUUGAAUCUGGGAAAUUGUGUUAUUUAUUGGGAGAAGAGAGAGAGAGAUGUGGAGGA